ACACUCCUGCGGGAGGCAGCAGUGGGGAAUUUUGGACAAUGGGCGAAAGCCUGAUCCAGCAAUGCCGCGUGAGUGAAGAAGGCCUUCGGGUUGUAAAGCUCUUUUGUCAGGGAAGAAACGGUGAAAGCUAAUAUCUUUUGCUAAUGACGGUACCUGAAGAAUAAGCACCGGCUAACUACGUGCCAGCAGCCGCGGUAAUACGCAGGGUGCAAGCGUUAAUCGGAAUUACGGGGCGUAAAGCGUGCGCAGGCGGUUUUGUAAGUCUGAUGUGAAAUCCCCGGGCUCAACCUGGGAAUUGCAUUGGAGACUGCAAGGCUAGAAUCUGGCAGAGGGGGGUAGAAUUCCACGUGUAGCAGUGAAAUGCGUAGAUAUGUGGAGGAACACCGAUGGCGAAGGCAGCCCCCUGGGUCAAGAUUGACGCUCAUGCACGAAAGCGUGGGGAGCAAACAGGAUUAGAAACCCCAGUAGUCCCAUG
This 475-nucleotide ribosomal RNA is filed under the name uncultured organism. RNAcentral's name for it is "partial 16S ribosomal RNA". It matches the Rfam family "Bacterial small subunit ribosomal RNA", at positions 333 to 799 of the family's 1533-position model. The record is from RNAcentral.